UCCGUGUUGUUAGCUUAGUUUAGGUGUGCUUACUGGUAUACUAACAACGUUAUGAAGCGCCUAAAUCAUUAUAAUGUAAUGAUUGUUAGGUACCGUUACUGUUAGUUCAUAUCAGUUAAAGGUCAAUUCGCCUCAGCUUUGCAGCGUGGGAUUUCUUUCAAAAUGUUUUGCAGAUAAGUUCUGCUGCCAUGUAGAUCUGCUAACUGGCUGCUGUUCUCCGUGUUUACAUCCCUGUUGCCGCUUCAAUGGGGAAAAGGAAAGAUAUGAUUCACCCCAGGUUCCUCGGUGAGGGCGGCUCCAGCCUGCACAGCGUUCACAAGCGCAAACACAAAAAACACAAGAAGCACAAGAGGAAGCACCACAGCUUCCCCGAGGCGCCGGAGC
Molecule: long non-coding RNA, 384 nt
Organism: Notothenia coriiceps (black rockcod)
Lineage: Eukaryota; Metazoa; Chordata; Actinopteri; Perciformes; Nototheniidae
Exons: 3
Source: RefSeq, a predicted model, not a curated record